RNAcentral lists this ribosomal RNA (372 nucleotides) under Triticum aestivum (bread wheat). RNAcentral describes it as "partial small subunit ribosomal RNA". The record is from RNAcentral. Lineage: Eukaryota; Viridiplantae; Streptophyta; Magnoliopsida; Poales; Poaceae.
AUGCUCCGCCGCGCGGCCUCCUUGCUACGCGGGCGCUCGGCCUGGAUCCCCCGCCGGCCAGUGGCGGCCGCGGCGACACUGGCCCGACGCCGCCCGGAGCCGGAGGCCCGCCCCCGCGCCGUCGAGGGCCGGGGCUACGCGCGCAUGGCGCGGCGGAUGCCGCCCACGAGGCCUGACGGGUACUCCACCUCCGACGGGGAGGCCGACGCCUACGGAGACGUCGAGGACCUGGAGCCGGCGGCCGCCGCGGACGGCGAGGAGGACGCCUCCGAUGGGGAGGGGUGGGACGGGUUCACGCUGGACAUGGGCGCCGGAUCCAUCGUGGACAAUGACGAUGAGGAAGAGGAGGAGGAGGAGGAAGAGGAGAAGUAA